AUGGUCCCUGGGUCAGGAAUGUCAGCAUUAUGGUAGAUGUUUUUAGAAAUGCAAAUUUUUGGCUCAUCUCAAACCUACUGAGUUAGAACCUGGGUGUAGAGCUCAGAAAUCUGCGCUUUAAGAAGCUGCCAGGUGAAGGGCCAGGGAUUUAGCUCAGUGGUUUCGCCACCUGCUGCUCAAGCGCAAGGACCCGAGUUUGAUCCCCAGUACCAAAAAAAAAAAAAAAGAAAAAGAAAAAAAAAAAGAAGCUGCCAGGUGACUGAUUUCUGCUGAAUCCUGAGGAUCAUUGUAACAAACCAAGGCUAUCUAGGCAGAAGCAUUUUUUAGGCUUUAUGAGAAGGCAAGGAGGCAAUAACUUCAAAUCUCAUGGUGGAUACAGAUUUUUGCUGCAAGGAAAUAACUGCUUACUAUGAAUGAAAUACUGCUUCAAGACUGAUGCUGAGACCCUGGGGCAAUAAGGACUCUGGAGACGUCUUUGAGGAAACUCCUGAAGCUCGAGUUUUAUUACCUUAAAAAAUAGACUGACACUUAGCCCUGAGCUAUUACCCUGCAGCUGCUCCUUUAGCUAUUUUGCAAUAAUAGCACCUUCACAUCUCAAGCCAUGAGCUGGAAGCUCUCAUCCAUGUUGCUUACAAGCAUUUCUCACUGGAAGAUAAACAUAACCUUGGGCCUUGCCUCAAAAGGAGUAUAUCAUGGAAUGAAAAAGAGAUAAUAUCCCCAAAUAUUGUGGCUACUGAAGGAUAGUUUUAAGGGUGGAAAUCAGAAUCACUGUGAAAUUUCUAAGUGCGCAUCUUCAAAGUUUCCUAGUAAACUUUUCUAAAGUUCAAUGACUAUUUUAGCAAAUCUUUCCUUACCAUUCUUUUGAAUACAACGUAUAUUCAUAAGGUUGAUAUACAG
Non-coding RNA from Heterocephalus glaber (naked mole-rat), 897 nucleotides. The record is from RefSeq and is a predicted model, not a curated record. Lineage: Eukaryota; Metazoa; Chordata; Mammalia; Rodentia; Bathyergidae.